Orcinus orca (killer whale) is the source of this 9654-nucleotide long non-coding RNA. RefSeq lists it as uncharacterized. The record is from RefSeq and is a predicted model, not a curated record. The transcript is spliced from 2 exons. NCBI's taxonomy places the organism in Eukaryota, Metazoa, Chordata, Mammalia, Artiodactyla, Delphinidae.
GGAAGAGAUAUGGGAACAUAUGUAUAUGUAUAACUGAUUCACUUUGUUAUAAAGCAGAAACACACCAUUGUAAAGCAAUUAUACUUCAAUAAAGAUAUGUUAAAAAAAAAAUGGAGAUGAUUUGUCAACCUCCUCCCCUCAUCAUGCCAAAAGUAUAUUUCCCCAGCUUAUUCUGAGUCACAUUUCAACCAAAUCAGUUUAAUAAGAAUGGACUUUGAGAGGACUUGUAAACUUUUUAAAGCUGUCCAUUGAAAGCUACCACAAUGCCAGAGUUUUACAAGUAACCUAUACCUAUUAAAUAGAUUACUUGUGGUAAUUGAUAAAUGUUUUAUUUUUAGAUAUUCUUUGUUCAUAUUCAUUUUAAGUAAAUACUGAGUUACUACAAUCUGGCUAGUUAUAAGCAUUUUUCUUAAUGUAAGUAUGUAAUAUUUUAAUAAAAUAUGUUGGAAUGUAGACUUGAUCUUUGAAUUGAAAAACUAACACCUAGUCGUGGACAUAAAAUUUGGAGAGUUGAUACAUUUGAACUGAGGAUUUUAUUUCUAUGCAGAUUCUCCCCUGCCCCCAUUCUGUCACAUGAAUCCCUGUUCUUUUGGGCAAGAAUGUGAUUCCCCGACACACACCCCUCCCCACCUUUUAAAACAGAAACUUAAUUUAGUUAUGUAUCAAUGCUUUAUAUGGGAAUAUAAUGGAUAGCUAAUCUGUUAUGAAUUUGAGAAUGUAUUUCAUGAAAAAAGAAAUUACAGAGCUGCCAAAGAGAGAGGGUGAGAGGGAGAGCGGUUGUAAAACCUAGUUUGGGGAACUUGAUAUGAAUCUAAUCUCCUGCAGUUCUGGGAGCAGGUAUGUAACUCAUACCCAGGGAACCUGGAAUCUGAAGGAACUGGUAGGUUACUUUGGCUCAGGACAGGAGAAGAACUGCUAAUGUGUUGAGACUGUUCUGCACUCUCAGCAUUUGCUUUGACAAAGACUGUUUGAGUGCUUAUCGAGGACCAGAUAUUAGUCAAGCGUGAAAGAGAGAAAGUGAGCCAUGGUGGUGGAUCCACGUUGGAUACCGCACAAAAGGGCCACUUAGAGGCGUGAACAGGCCUCAGAACAGGACAGUCCAAAGUGGGGCUCUGGAUUCCUUAAGAACUAAGAAGAAAGAAUGAAUUACAUUCACUUAGGUCAAGGGAGUUACAGGUGAGAACAGCUGUGGGCACAGAAAUGCCCCUGAGAGAAAGAGUCAGCUCUAAAACAAUUGCCAGAUCCAGACUGCUCAAAACCAUGUCACAUAAGAACUCUACCGCCCCCUGCAGUUUUGAACCUGGCAGUAUGGGAAACCCUAAUUAGCCAGCUGAAGGAAGGGGACCAUGCCUGCUUUCCACCCCUACUGCAGGUGGUCUGCCUGUAGCAUGGCCUAGCUGAUUAACUCUGACUUGGCAUUUUUAUAGUUCCGUAUAGUUACGCGGGGCUGGACAUUGUUUUUCAGUGCUUUGUGAGUUAAAGCAACUCUGGACUUAUUACUUGAGAGUAAGGGUUUUCAACCUGGGUUGGGAGAAGAACCUCUGAAUAUUUAAAAGGGUAGUGGGAGAUGAAGUUGCCUUCUAAUUAUAUCCCAUGAGUCAAAAAUAGUGGUUACAUAUAUUAACAGAUUUUUGUUUGAACAUUUUUCUGGGUGAUAUAAUUCUAUUCAUAAGAUUUUUCAAAAUUGAAAUAUUUGUGUAAUUUCCAUCAUAAUCAUGUAUGGGGUAUGUGUGUGAGUAACUAUUUUAACAAAGCUUCUAAUGUCUUAGUAUUUUUUAAAAUUUUUAUUGAAGUAUAGUUAAUUUACAGUGUUGUAUUUCAAGUGUACAGCAAAGUGAUUCAGUUAUACAUAUAUAUAUCUAUAUAUAUUCUUUUCCAGAUUCCUUUCCAUUAUAGGUUAUUACAAGAUAUUGAGUAUAGUUCCCUGUGCUAUACAGUAGGUCCUUGUUUAUCUGUUUUAUAUAUAGUAGUAUGUAUCUGUUUUAUAUAUAGUAGUAUGUAUAUGUUAAUCCCACCACCAUCCCCCUGCUAUCCCCUUUGGUAACCAUAAAUUUGUUUUCUAUGUUUGUGAGUCUAUUUCUGCUUCGUAAAUAAAAUAAGUUUAUUUGUAUCAUUUUUUUUUAGAUUCCACAUAUAAGUGAUAUCAUGAUGUCUUUCUCUGACUUGACUUCACUUAAUAAUCUCUAGGUCCAUCCGUGUUGCUGCAAAUGGCAUUAUUUCAUUCUUUUUUAUGGCUGAGUAAUAUUCCAUUGUAUAUGUAUACUACAUCUUCUUUAUCCAUUCACCUGUCAGUGGACAUUUAUCGAAAAGACACAUGCACCCCGGUGUUCAUAGCAGCACUAUUUGCAAUAUCCAAAACAUCAUGGAAGCAACAUAAAUGUCUUGGUAUUUUUUAUAUCAUUUUAUUUUUUCCUCCCCCUUAUAUGAUAUUUUAUUGUACUAUAUUAUGGUUCAGUAUUCUUUCCCCUUAAAAUUCCUAUGCAAGUUAGUCAUGUUAUAUUUCCAUAAUCAUUAUCAGUUUAAUAUUUUUAAUAUUGAAAUAGCUAAUCUAGGGAUUUAGUAGAAUGAUCUAUUUAUUGUUAAAAUGGGGACAAGAGAAACUGCUUUUAGUUGAUUACAGCUCUUAUUUCCCCCUUUAUUCUAUUGAUAACAUUUUUAUGAUUAUGUUAAAAUUCAGGAAUUAUUUUGUGGGAUCUUAUUGUUUGCUCUCCAUUUUAUGUUGGUAAACUCUAAGGUUAUAUAUAUAUCCUUGGUCCUUUUAGCUUCUCUCUAUAUUUUUGUAUCAUCUGUAUGCUGAUGACUUCUUAGUCUUUCUCUACAGCCCUUUUCCAUUUAGGCUACAUGUCCAACUGUUUUUCUCCAUAGCAUUUGAUUUGUAUGUUCAUAAGAAGCUGUUCUUGGGGACUUCCCUGGUGGUCCAGUGGUUAGGACUCUGCACUCCCAAUGCACGGGGCACAGGUUCAAACCCUGGUCUGGGAAUUAAGAUCCUGCAUGCCACAUGGCGUGGCCAAAAGAAAAGAAGAAGAAAGAAAAAGCUGUUCUCUAAUUUAUUGUUUCUGUGUCUGCCUUUUCCCGCCUGGUGUUGAGUUCUAGGAAGAAAUCUUGAACACUUGUAUCUCUAAGACUAAAUGGAGUGCUUUAUAGGUAGACAGCUAAUAAAUUUUCAGUGAGUGAAAGAAUAAUAGGCAUUCAGUAGAUUGAUCCUAAUUCCCCCAUCAGGCAGAGCACUGGAACAGAUGGGUCAGAUUCUCUAUAGACGUUAAAUAAUGCCAUAGAGGAUGUGAGUAGUAAGUGGUUUUUUCAUCUUUGAAAAUAUCGCAGUGAAUAUAACAAUAAAGAAGAUGGAAUGUCUUCCUGAGGAAAAUCUGCCUUCUUUUUUGGAAGAUAAAAUGUGCAAGGUAGGACUGAAUGCCAGGCUAACAGUAUCUUUUACACAGAAGGAUCUGUUAACUGGAUAAAAAGGUAACUUUAAGAUCUGCAGCAUGUGAAAUUCCUUAAGUAUUCUGGAUUGAUUUCAUACAAGAUGUGUUUUAUCUUUGAUCAACCAGUUGCCUCCAUUCACAGUCCUGAGGCAUGUUAAAGACCAGUUGUUGGUAAACUUGAGAUGUUAGGAAUGUCUGUAUAACUCUCCUGGAAGUUCUGAACUAGGUGAUGAAAGAGACAGAGGUGCAAGAAGACGGAGAAAGAAGAGACAAAAUAUGGAGGAUUGGAGAAGAUGGUUGCUACAGGAUUUCCAGGAAGAACAAAAGAGAGACUGUUUAUAUUAUUCGGAAAUAAGCAUCGUUAUCUAAAAAGAAACCCAAAUCAACUAUAACCAAAAUAUCAAAUGACUGAAUGAUUAUAAGAAAUUUGUGAAUCAAACUGUGCAAAGCCUGGGGCUUCCCUGAUAGCGCAGUGGUUGAGAAUCUGCUGCCAAUGCAGGGGACACGGGUUCGAUCCCUGGUCCUGGAAGAUCCCAAAUGCCUCGGAGCAACUAAGCCCGUGUGCCACAACUGCUGAGCUUGUACUCUAGAGCCUGUGAGCCACAACUGCUGAGCCCGUGUGCCACAAGUACUGAAGCCCACGCUCCUAGAGCCCGUGCUCUGCAACAAGAGAAGCCACCGCAGUGAGAAGCCCAUGCACCGCAACGAAGAGUAGCCCCUGCUCGCCACAACUAGAGAAAUCCCACAUGCAGCAAUGAAGACCCAACGCAGCCUAAAUUAAUUAAUUUAAAAAAACUAUGCAAAGCCUGAUGCACAAUGUUUCCUGGUGGAGGGAGCAUAGCUCCCACCAAGUAGAAGCAUCUUGUCAGCAUUAACUCUGCUAGGCCAAAAGGUUCAUAAUUUUUUAUUUUUAAUUUUGCUGAAAGAUAAUGUUUUAUACUGUUACAGCACAAAGAAAACUGACUUCAAAAUUUAUCAAAACUUAAUGUGAUUUUUUUUCUUCCUGUUUGGGAAGUUGAUAGGAGGGCAAGUGCAUACUUGUACCCUGGUUCUGCUUUCUGUAUGCUGCUUCAUCCUUGUUAGAUUUUAAGAUUCUUAAGUUCAUGCUUCUUAGUGUCAUAAGAUCUCCUCAAAUCCUCUCAUAUAAAAUUUGAAGAAAGAGUUGUUAAAGGAGUACAUAUAUGGUAAAAAGAAUGUCUCUCUUGGUUGGGUUUUAUAAAAAAUACACCUUUUCUUUUUUUUUUUAAAUGCACCUUUUCUAAAAGUGAACUGUUACUAUGCUUCUCGGUACCCCGAAUCACAAAUUUCAUUUAUCCACCAAAGCUACUGUUGGUCACUGUUAGAACUGAUUAUAUGGUUAGCAUUAUAUUUUGUAAAUUACUUGUGAUGCCAAGGUGAUGUUUAGGAUUUGUGCUUAACUCUGGGGGAAAUAUUUCUUUAAAUGGAUAAUGCUGAUUUUUUUUAAGAGGGUUAACAUAAAUCAUAACAGUGGGAAAAUAAAUUUUUACCAGAACUUUUAAACUAUCUCCUAUUUCCUAUGCACCUAAUACCAUCAGCAUGAAGUCAUCCACAUAAUGGGUAAAUUUGAUGUCCUGUAAGGUAGUGAGAAUAUCAAGAUCUCGGUGGAUUAAAUUACCACAGAAUUAUCAGCAUUUGAUGAACAAAUGUUGUCUUGAGGCAAGAUGAUGAAGGUUGAACCCCUAUCCAUAUCAAGUAAGAGUAGAAAGCUUCUGGUACCCUUGGUUAAUUUGUGAACUGAUUGUAUCCUUUGAUCAUUAAAAAAAAAAAAUUUAGGGGACUUCCCGUGCAGUGCAGUGGUUAAGACUUCGCCUUCCAAUGCAGCGGGUGUGGGUUUGAUCCCUGGUUGGGGAGCUAAGAUCCUUCAUGCCUCACAGCCAAAAUAACCAAAACAUAAAACAAGCAGUAUUGUAACAAAUUCAGUGAAGACUUUAAAAAUGGUCCACAUCAAAAAAGCUUUUUAAAAAAUUUAGUUCCUUGAUUGUAAACAAAGAAAGAAUGUUUUAUUAAUUAUGCAUGUUAAUGCCUUAUCUGUAUUUGCAUUUAUACUGAGUGUGUGUGUGUGUGUGUGCGUGCGUGCGUGCGUGCGUGUGUGUGUGUGUGUGUGUGUGUGUGUGUGUGUGUGGCUGCACCGGCCCUGGCAGCAAAAGCGCCAAGUCCUAACCACUGGACCGCCAGGGAAUGCCCUAACCUAAAUUUUUUGGUCACAAAUUUUAUGUGGCCAAAUGUACUGAUAUUUUCUUUUGACACUUCCAUUGUUUUUGUUUGGAAAAUCUUCAAAAACUUAUAAAUAAUACCACUCAUCCAUAUUUUCUUCUAAAAUAUUUAAUGGUUUCAUUAAAAAGACUAAACAUUUUUACUAACCUGGAGUUUCUUUUGGUGUAUAUGUUGAGAUAUGUAGUUAACUGCUUAUCACUAAUUGAUUUUUCCCAAACCAUUUAUUAAUAAUCUAUAUCAUUCUCAUUGAUUUGUAUAGUUUCUCUUAUGUUAAUAAGUUCUCACCUCUUACUGUUUUCCAGUAAUAUGCUUACUCUUCUGUAGGCUAGUAUUUAAUAAUUAUAUUUUUAUAUUUACUAAUUAUAUAUUUUAUAAUCUAACAGAAAAAAUUUAUCUUUCUUUAAACAUUUAAAGCUAUUUUAUUUUAACUAGAAACAAAUCACUAUAUGUCUGUGCAAAAGCAACAUAUGUUUAUUGCUGAAAAGUUAGAAAAUAUAAAUAAGAAAAUAAAUAUGAAAGAAGGAAGACCUUAGUAGUGAGAGUGGAUGUAGCUAUGCCUCAUUCUCCUAACACUGGGUCCCCGACGUGCAAGGUUCUGAGGGGUGAUGUUAAGCUUUAUGCCCUACCUCCUUCCCCUCUUAGAACCCACUUGGGUCCCAGGUUGGUGACUGAGGCACCUAAUUUGUUUCCAGUGAAAAAAGUUUGGCCACAAAGGGGAUGGCCAUAACACCUUUCUUGGUACCAACUCCUUAUAAAACUAAGAGGUCCUAUGUUUGCCACAGACUCAAGCGAAAAACGGCUUCAGACUUUAUGAAGUAGAGAUGCCGACCAAUUUUUCUUGUAGAUGGAAGUGCAUUGCUGGCUGACUAUAGUCAUGAGAAAAUAAGCUCAGUACCAAUAAGAGAAUGAUAAUAAGAAUAAGAGAAAAUAAGCUCAGUGCCUUCUUAUAGGAAGCAAAGACCCUCGGAAGGGCUAAAGUAGGCACGUUGCCAACUGAUGCUCUAUAUCCUCACGAUGCUGGGGGGUCAGGGACACAGGGGAUAGUCUGGAUUCUAUGGGGGAGAAGUAUGGAAGUAAAACAGCUGAAAUUUUAACUUGCAUUCCUAAUGAGUUUCAAUGUUUUAGAGUUACAAAGAAAAGUUACAAACACCCCAGUCUGACUACGGAAUCUCAGGAGUCACAGAUGGUGUCUACUCUGGCUAGGUAGCGAAGGUAGGAAGAGGGUGAAAAUUUUUUCCAGCUAUAAACUGCCAUGAUAAGCAGAAAUUAUCCUAAGGGGGCCAUAGAGAUGAGGGGUAUGUUGGGUAUGAAAAAUGCUCAGAUCAGGUCUCCAGCGCUAGGGACAGGGUAACCAACCAUGCCAGUUUUCCCAGGACUGUCUUGGUUUUAUCACUGAUAGUCCUGUGUCCCAGGAAUGCCCCAGUCCUGGGCAAAGUGGGGAACCUACUUGGGACACAUAGUAGACUGACAGCCCCAGCAGCUGUCCUUCUGGAUCCACGUCUGUGUCUGUCCUAUGCCCAUGCUUCCCACGACUGCUCCCAGCCAUUACACCCACAAUAGGGGUAAAAUACAGGCCCAUUCCUGGAAGAUGCGGGAUUUAUUUUUCAUAUGACUUUGGCUCCAGGAUUCCCCUUUGGCCUGGCCAGAAAUGUUGUUAGAACUGUGCUGCAGUUUUAGACUCUCUCUACCCAAUCCUCUUUGUUUCCCUCUACCUCCACUUCUUCCAUUCUUCCUAGCUCCCUCUCUCCAUAAUUUUCUAUGGCCACUUAACAUAUUACCACAAAUUUUGUGGCUUAAAACCACACAUAUUUAUAGUAUAGUUCCGGAGGUCAGAGGUCUGAAAUGAUUCUCACUGAGCUAAAAUCAAGGCUGCAUUCCUUUCUGGAGGUUCUAGAGGACAAUUAGUUUUCUUGUCUUUUCUGACUUGUAGAGGCCACCUGUAUUCCUUGGCUUGUGGCCCCUUCCAUCUUCAAAGCCAGCAAUGACCUGUCGAGUCUUUCUCACAUCAUUCUGACACUUCUGCCUCCUCCUUCCACGUAUGAAGGACCCUUGUAAUUUCACUGGACCCACCUGAAUUUGUUAAGGCAUCCAUAACAUGUUUUUCAUCAUAAAACAGGUAUUACUCUGACAUUAUUAAUUCCAUUAGCAUAUCUAUUAAAUAAAUAUGCAGGAAACCACCAGGGCAUUAUUUGAGUCUUAAAUAAGCAUGGGAGCUCUAAGCAACAACUUUACUUUAAAAAAAAUUUUUAUUUAUUUAUUUGGCUGUGCCAGGUCUUAGCUGGCAGCACUUGGGCUCUUUUAGUUGCAGCAUGUGGCAUCUAGUUCCCUGACCAGGGAUCGAACCUGGGCCCCUGGCACUGGGAGUGUGAAAUCUUAACCCCUGGACCACCAGGGAAGUCCCUAAGCAACAACUUUCUAGAGGGCAUCUGUUUGCAAAGAAAUCUGGGAAUCUUAGCUUUCAAGUGCUUGGGGAUCCAGGUAGCAUUGACAAAGGACAUACAGAAGUUCAGAGUUGGCCUAGCAUAUACUCCUUGAGUAUCUCUGGUCUAUACAGAAACACUAGAAUCAACCAAAUCUUGACAACCUACCUGGAGUCCUGGUGUGUGGUUCUUAUCUCCCUACAGCCUGGUAAUGUCUUUGACCCUCAUUCCAGGCUGCAUCAGCAAGUGUCAGAGUCUUCCUCAGAUGUCACCAUUAGGGAGCCUUUACUGGUCUCAUAGGUCACCCUGGGGAGUACUGCAGAGACAAAUAGAGGACAAAAGAUAAUUUUCUGGUUGGGCUAUUAUAGGGAGAAAAUUGUGGGUGGUCAGAGUUGAAACCAGUCACACACACACCAAAACCAUUUAUUUGGUCCAGCUAAGCUGGAUAGACCUGAGAAAUGUUUUUUGUUUUUGUUCAUUGCUCUUUCACCGGUGAAGACACUGUCUGGAACCAGCUAUCACUUCAACAGGGACCCUGCCUCCUUCCAGAGUUUUUCGGUGCAAUUGCUUGCUUGCUUUCUUUUUUUUUUUUUUUUGGCUGUGCUGCGUUCCCCAACCAGGGAUGGAACUCGUGCUUGCUGCAGUGGAAGCGAGGAGUCCUAACCUCUGGACCUCCAGGGAGUUCCCCCAGCAGCAAUUUCUGCUGAAGGUCUGGACACCUGACUUCUGAGUCACUAAUUCCAAACAAUUUGUUGUCAAAUCAUUCAACCUACAAAGCACAAAAUGGCAUUAAAUUGCCUCUGAAGAAUAAGUACCUAAAUUAAUAUCUGUGCAUUUGUCUUGCUGUAAAAUAUGGCUGCCAAACUUUCAAAUUUUGCUGGUGCAUCUUGUGCAAUGGUGGUAUCUGUUACUUUUUAAUUUGGUUAAUAAAAAUUCUUAAAAUCAUUAACAUGAUUUUGAUCUUCAAAUCAUUAACAAAUUUAAUAGAAACCUGCUGAGUUUGGGGAUAGCUGGUUUUGUAUUAACUGUUGUUGUGAGCCUGCUUCUGCUUCUGUUUCACCCACAAUACCAGGUUUGGUUUAAUUGUAUUGUAACUGUAUAAUUACAGUAAUUGUAUAAUUACUGGAUCAAGUACUACAUUAAAAGGAGUUUCUGUAUACAGUUGCCUGUUUCUACCAGUAUGGAGUAUGGAGUCAACCUAUUUUGCUUUAUUCCUAAGAAAUGGAAUAAAGAUGGAAACACAAAUUACAGAUAGAGAAAGAGGGAAGCAAGGGAAAAGAUUAUUUAAAGUUUGGGAAAUUUUAGAGAAUAUGGGACAAGUAUAAAGCAUAAGAGGUUUCAUAAAAAUGGAGAUGAUAAGAUUCCACAAGGUCACUAUGAUGAUUAGAUUUAGGACUGGGAAACAGAUUUGGGUGGAUAAAGCGAAGGAGCAAAGAGACUAUUAAGAGAAAACAAAAGUUAGAUGUCCCUAUUAGUUAGCUAAUUACUGAAAAAUUUGGCUAGUAGAAUUUUAGGGAAAUUUAGCUAUAUUGAUUUUUUAAAUUUGUAGCAACGAUCUUAUACUUCAAUAAAAACAG